ACUGCUCAGUAACACGUGGACAACCUGCCCUUAGGUUGGGUAUAAACCCGGGAAACUGGGUAUAAUACCCGAUAGGUCUCGAUUGCUGGAAUGCAUCGAGAUUUAAAGCUCCGGCGCCUAAGGAUGGGUCUGCGGCCUAUCAGGUAGUAGUGGGUGUAGCGUACCUACUAGCCUACGACGGGUACGGGUUGUGAGAGCAAGAGCCCGGAGAUGGAUUCUGAGACACGAAUCCAGGCCCUACGGGGUGCAGCAGGCGCGAAAACUUUACAAUGCUGGCAACAGCGAUAAGGGAACCUCGAGUGCCAGGUUACAAAUCUGGCUGUCGAGAUGCCUAAAAAGCAUUUCAUAGCAAGGGCCGGGCAAGACCGGUGCCAGCCGCCGCGGUAACACCGGCGGCUCGAGUGGUAACCGUUAUUAUUGGGUCUAAAGGGUCUGUAGCCGGCCGGAUAAGUCUCUUGAGAAAUCUGGCAGCUUAACUGUCAGGCUUUCAGGAGAUACUGUCUGGCUCGAGGCCGGGAGAGGUGAGAGGUACUUCAGGGGUAGGGGUGAAAUCUUGUAAUCCUUGAAGGACCACCAGUGGCGAAGGCGUCUCACCAGAACGGACCUGACGGCAAGGGACGAAAGCUAGGGGCACGAACCGGAUUAGAUACCCGGGUAGCCCUAGCCGUAAACGAUACUCGCUAGGUGUCGGCCACGGUGCGACCGUUGUCGGUGCCGUAGGGAAGCCGUGAAGCGAGCCACCUGGGAAGUACGGCCGCAAGGCUGAAACUUAAAGGAAUUGGCGGGGGAGCAC
Molecule: ribosomal RNA, 793 nt
Filed under: uncultured archaeon
Lineage: Archaea
Description: bacterial SSU rRNA
Rfam family: Archaeal small subunit ribosomal RNA
Source: RNAcentral